Molecule: ribosomal RNA, 500 nt
Filed under: uncultured Glomeromycotina
Lineage: Eukaryota; Fungi; Glomeromycota
Description: SSU rRNA
Rfam family: Eukaryotic small subunit ribosomal RNA
Source: RNAcentral
CCAAUAGCGUAUAUUAAAGUUGCUGCAGUUAAAAAGCUCGUAGUUGAAUUUCGGGAUCAAUAUGUCGGUCGUGCCUUCGGUACGUACUGGCAUCAUUGGUUUCUCCCUUCUGACAAACCAUGAUGUCAUUAAUUUGGUGUUAUGGGGAGUUAGGACUGUUACUUUGAAAAAAUUAGAGUGUUUAAAGCAGGCUCACGCUUGAAUACAUUAGCAUGGAAUAAUGAAAUAGGACGUUUGAUUCUAUUUUGUUGGUUUCUAGGAUCGACGUAAUGAUUAAUAGGGAUAGUUGGGGGCAUUAGUAUUCAAUUGUCAGAGGUGAAAUUCUUGGAUUUAUUGAAGACUAACUACUGCGAAAGCAUUUGCCAAGGAUGUUUUCAUUAAUCAAGAACGAAAGUUAGGGGAUCGAAGACGAUCAGAUACCGUCGUAGUCUUAACCAUAAACUAUGCCGACUAGGGAUCGGAUGAUGUUAAUUUUUUAAUGACUCAUUCGGCGCCUUACG